RNAcentral lists this ribosomal RNA (464 nucleotides) under uncultured bacterium. Its description in RNAcentral is "bacterial SSU rRNA". It matches the Rfam family "Bacterial small subunit ribosomal RNA", at positions 331 to 793 of the family's 1533-position model. The record is from RNAcentral.
CCAGACUCCUACGGGAGGCAGCAGUGAGGAAUAUUGGUCAAUGGCCGAGAGGCUGAACCAGCCAAGUCGCGUGAGGGAGGACGGCCCUACGGGUUGUAAACCUCUUUUGUCAGGGAGCAAGGGACAGGUCGUGACCUGUUGUGAGAGUACCUGAAGAAAAAGCAUCGGCUAACUCCGUGCCAGCAGCCGCGGUAAUACGGAGGAUGCGAGCGUUAUCCGGAUUUAUUGGGUUUAAAGGGUGCGUAGGCGGAAGGUUAAGUCAGCGGUCAAAUGUCGGUGCUCAACACCGGCCUGCCGUUGAAACUGGUCUUCUUGAGUGAGCGAGAAGUAUGCGGAAUGCGUGGUGUAGCGGUGAAAUGCAUAGAUAUCACGCAGAACUCCGAUUGCGAAGGCAGCAUACCGGCGCUCAACUGACGCUGAGGCACGAAAGCGUGGGGAUCGAACAGGAUUAGAUACCCGUGUAC